This 271-nucleotide ribosomal RNA is filed under the name uncultured bacterium. RNAcentral's name for it is "partial 16S ribosomal RNA". It matches the Rfam family "Bacterial small subunit ribosomal RNA", at positions 524 to 794 of the family's 1533-position model. The record is from RNAcentral.
UACGAGGGGUGCAAACGUUAUUCGGAAUUACUGGGUGUAAAGGGUGCGUAGAUGGUUGAUUAAGUCAGUUGUUAAAUUCCUUAGCUUAACUAAGGGUCAGCGAUUGAAACUGAUUAACUAGAGGAUGAGAGAGAGAAGUGGAAUUCUCGGAGUAGCGGUAAAAUGCGUAGAUAUCGAGAGGAACACCGAUGGCGAAGGCAGCUUCUUGGCUCAUUUCUGACAUUGAGGCACGAAAGCGUGGGGAGCAAACAGGAUUAGAAACCCGAGUAGU